AGUCCCAGUCCCCACCGCGCUCCCCAGGCUGCCCGCACACGGGUCACGGCGGGAAGGGCGGGGGGGGGGGGGGGGGCCGCAGCCUCACCACCGCCCCGGCUGCGCGCCCGCACCGUGCCGAGGCUGCCCCCGUCACCACAGGGCUGAUCCGGCCCGGCCCCACCGAAGGAGCGCGGCGACAACCUCCGGGCCGCGCCCCGGGGCACUGCCGCCGCCCUCCCCCCGGCCAGGGCUCCUCCAGGCGCUGCCGGCGGCUCCUCCCAGCCCCAGCCGGCGCCCCCCGCCGUGGCCCAGGAAGGCUCCCCCGAGCGGCCGCAGGGCGCUGGCUGCCCUCCUCCGCGCCUCGUCCCCCUCGGCGCCCGCGGAGAGAAGGAGGGAGGAACGACGGUGCAGUGUCCUUCCUUUCUCAGUAGAGCAAUUUGUGAUGGAGAUCGCCAGUGGCACCUGCAAAGUACUGUAUUCCUGUUCCAUUCAAAAUCACUAGCUGGCGAAACUGGAGAAUUCAACACUGCUGUUAAAUGGAUUUAUUUGGGAAUUAGCAGAACCAUGUUUUACCUGAUUGACUCACCUUAUAAAAACAAGAGACAACGAUGGCUGGAUCUCAGACCUGCACACCAGGCUUGCGCAAUUAUUUCCUCCGUGAACUUG
This is a long non-coding RNA of Grus americana (Whooping crane), 648 nucleotides long. RefSeq lists it as uncharacterized. The transcript has 3 exons. Lineage: Eukaryota; Metazoa; Chordata; Aves; Gruiformes; Gruidae. The record is from RefSeq and is a predicted model, not a curated record.